RNAcentral lists this transfer RNA (72 nucleotides) under Pestalotiopsis fici W106-1. RNAcentral's name for it is "tRNA-Ala (TGC) (tRNA-Ala-TGC-1-1, tRNA-Ala-TGC-1-2)". It matches the Rfam family "tRNA". From Rfam's summary of the family: Transfer RNA (tRNA) molecules are approximately 80 nucleotides in length. The record is from RNAcentral. Lineage: Eukaryota; Fungi; Ascomycota; Sordariomycetes; Amphisphaeriales; Sporocadaceae.
GGGCGAAUGGCUCAGUGGUAGAGCAUCCGCUUUGCAUGCGGAAGGUCCAGGUUUCGAUCACCUGUUCGUCCA